UGCAGGGUAGAGUAACGGCCACUCACGGGCCUCAUAAGCCCGAUAAGCGGGUUCAACUCCCGCCCCUGCUA
This 71-nucleotide transfer RNA is filed under the name Anaerolineae bacterium. RNAcentral describes it as "tRNA-Met". It matches the Rfam family "tRNA". Rfam says of the family: Transfer RNA (tRNA) molecules are approximately 80 nucleotides in length. The record is from RNAcentral. Lineage: Bacteria; Bacillati; Chloroflexota; Anaerolineae.